Molecule: non-coding RNA, 1521 nt
Organism: Oryza sativa Japonica Group (Japanese rice)
Lineage: Eukaryota; Viridiplantae; Streptophyta; Magnoliopsida; Poales; Poaceae
Source: RefSeq, a predicted model, not a curated record
AAACAAAGCCAGGGAAGGGCCUGCAGGAAUUAAUGAAGAUGAAGGCCGCUCUUUUGAUGAUACUAGUGGUGGCCGUUUCUUUCAAUUUGUGCACUUGCAAUAUUCCAGGGAACAUGGAAGAAGAACAUGGUAUGUACAAGGAUGUGCAUGCUGGGAAGGACAUGCGCAAGCUGAUCGAUAUUGAUGGAAGGACUGCCCCUACAGGCCAUGACUAUGACCAUGUCUGUCCACGUGGUAUCUAUCCUUGCUGAAUAAUAAUGUCCUAGUUCUCAAUAGGACCAGAAGCUAUUGGAGCCAACUAGUAAUUAAUAGCAUCAUCUGGAAUAAUUGUAGAACAAAUAUUUGGAUGUAAGAUUUGUGUAUGUUUGAAUCCCCACGGGGCUAUUGGUGUGAGUGCAAUAUAUCUAGUUUAUAUGGUUUGUAACGUGUAAUUCUUAAAAUAGUAUAUAUAUGCUAUAAAAAUACUUUAGUGUUCCAUUGCAUUAUAGUUGCCUGCGUUUAUUUCUAACAGAGAUUAUGAAUUAUGAUAAAUCUGGCAUUUCACCUAUGUAGGAAAUAGAAAUGGUAUCUACGUGUUUUUUUAGAAUAUCCAUGUAUAUAGAUCACCGCAUGCAUACAUUUAACAUUUGUAAUUUCAAAUUCAUACUGCCAACUAAUAUGAUCAAUUUUAUAUUUGGAUCAAGUUGUUAGAUUUGCAAUAUAUGAUCACAUAUUGUAAACAUUAUUGGCAAUGACAAAUGAAUAUUGCAGACAUUGUUGCCAAAUUUGAUCUCCUAAAAAGUAUAGGUCACAGGAUAAUUGUUCUUGUAGUUCCAAAAAAACGUAUGGAUUAAUGCAGCUUACAAAAUGCAUCUCUAGAAAGUUCUGGCUGGAAAUUGAGAUAAAAUCUACAAAUUGCCACUAACCUAUUAUUCUUUAAAGUAAAAUAGUUCACCCACUCAAGUUGUCAUGGCGUUUAAUUAGUGGAGAACCCAUUUUCCACAACUAAAAUGGCGGAUCAAGCAUUCUUAAAAGAAAUAGUACUGCAUCUGCAUCCUAUAAAUAACACCAGUUUUUAGCUGUAUUCCACCAUUCGCAAAUUUGUCCAUCACCGCCAAGACCAUCUUCAACAUUCGGGAUCGCAAGAGAAAAUGAAAAUAAUUGCGUUCCUCUUUGUUGGUAUGAUUUUUGUCUGUUCAUGCACUAAUUGUGUGUUAUGGAAUAUAGAAUCAGGUAGACCACCGGAGGAUUUGCACCAGAAUAAAAUGAGGAAUUUAUUGGCCAGCACUGAUAGAAAGGUUGCUCCUGGCGAUAGAAUUGAUCAUCGGUGCCAACGUAUCAAUUAUCCAAAUUGCAAGUGAAUGAGCUAUUGGUAAAGCAAAUGAGGUACCUUAAAGAUACUGAAUGUCAGUGUAGGAAAUAAGAUGUAAUUAGCUAGGCUGGUUUGUAUUUGUAAUAUAAAAUUUUAUGCAUAACUAUUCAAUUUAGUAUAUAUUGUUCAAUCAUAUUGAGAAUUAUACACUUGUGAUGUUUUGUUGGAAA